GGAGGACGCUGAGGAUCGCAAGGCCUUGCGUUAUUGGAGCGGCCGCUUUCUGAUUAGCUAGUUGGUGAGGUAAAGGCUUACCAAGGCGACGAUCAGUAGCUGGUCUGAGAGGAUGAUCACCCACACUGGGACUGAGACACUGCCCAGACUCCUACGGGAGGCAGCAGUGGGGAAUUUUGGACAAUGGGGGUAACCCUGAUCCAGCCAUGCCGCGUGAGUGAAGAAGGCCUUCGGGUUGUAAAGCUCUUUCGCGAGAGAAAAAACGGUGAGCGCUAAUACCGCUUACUAAUGAUGGUAUCUUGAGAAGAAGCACCGGCUAACUACGUGCCAGCAGCCGCGGUAAUACGUAGGGUGCGAGCGUUAAUCGGAAUUACUGGGCGUAAAGCGUGCGCAGGCGGUCUUGCAAGUCAGAUGUGAAAUCCCCGGGCUUAACCUGGGAACUGCGUUUGAAACUACAAGGCUAGAAGGG
RNAcentral lists this ribosomal RNA (469 nucleotides) under uncultured beta proteobacterium. Its description in RNAcentral is "bacterial SSU rRNA". It matches the Rfam family "Bacterial small subunit ribosomal RNA", at positions 189 to 649 of the family's 1533-position model. Lineage: Bacteria; Pseudomonadati; Pseudomonadota; Betaproteobacteria. The record is from RNAcentral.